GUGUGACUCGCUGGGAAAUCCCCACUUUUUUUGGGUGUAACAUCUGUCAUACUAAUAUUGUUCGUAUAAAUUGUAGCCUAUGUCACCCGGUCUAUAAUAACGAGUCGAUUGACACUUCAUUCAUCUAAAUCGGUUCAGUAGUUUAGGCGCUGCAGUGGAACAUACAUAGAUACGAGUAUACAUACGA
Long non-coding RNA from Maniola jurtina (meadow brown), 187 nucleotides. RefSeq lists it as uncharacterized. The transcript has 3 exons. Lineage: Eukaryota; Metazoa; Arthropoda; Insecta; Lepidoptera; Nymphalidae. The record is from RefSeq and is a predicted model, not a curated record.